This 468-nucleotide ribosomal RNA is filed under the name uncultured bacterium. Its description in RNAcentral is "partial 16S ribosomal RNA". It matches the Rfam family "Bacterial small subunit ribosomal RNA", at positions 28 to 507 of the family's 1533-position model. The record is from RNAcentral.
GACGAACGCUGGCGGCGUGCUUAACACAUGCAAGUCGAACGGAAAGGCCCUGCUUUUGUGGGGUGCUCGAGUGGCGAACGGGUGAGUAACACGUGAGUAACCUGCCCUUGACUUUGGGAUAACUUCAGGAAACUGGGGCUAAUACCGGAUAGGAGCUCCUGCUGCAUGGUGGGGGUUGGAAAGUUUCGGCGGUUGGGGGUGGACUCGCGGCUUAUCAGCUUGUGGGUGGGGUAGUGGCUUACCAAGGCUUUGACGGGUGGCCGGCCUGAGAGGGUGACCGGCCACAUUGGGACUGAGAUACGGCCCAGACUCCUACGGGAGGCAGCAGUGGGGAAUAUUGCACAAUGGGCGGAAGCCUGAUGCAGCAACGCCGCGUGCGGGAUGACGGCCUUCGGGUUGUAAACCGCUUUCGCCUGUGACGAAGCGUGAGUGACGGUAAUGGGUAAAGAAGCACCGGCUAACUACGUG